CCUACGGGACGCAGCAGUGGGGAAUAUUGCACAAUGGGCGCAAGCCUGAUGCAGCCAUGCCGCGUGUAUGAAGAAGGCCUUCGGGUUGUAAAGUACUUUCAGCGAGGAGGAAGGCAUUAAGGUUAAUAACCUUGGUGAUUGACGUUACUCGCAGAAGAAGCACCGGCUAACUCCGUGCCAGCAGCCGCGGUAAUACGGAGGGUGCAAGCGUUAAUCGGAAUUACUGGGCGUAAAGCGCACGCAGGCGGUCUGUCAAGUCGGAUGUGAAAUCCCCGGGCUCAACCUGGGAACUGCAUUCGAAACUGGCAGGCUAGAGUCUUGUAGAGGGGGGUAGAAUUCCAGGUGUAGCGGUGAAAUGCGUAGAGAUCUGGAGGAAUACCGGUGGCGAAGGCGGCCCCCUGGACAAAGACUGACGCUCAGGUGCGAAAGCGUGGGGAGCAAACAGGAUUAGAUACC
This 456-nucleotide ribosomal RNA is filed under the name uncultured bacterium. RNAcentral describes it as "bacterial SSU rRNA". It matches the Rfam family "Bacterial small subunit ribosomal RNA", at positions 338 to 786 of the family's 1533-position model. The record is from RNAcentral.